GCCUGUUUAUCAAAAACAUGGCUCCUUGUAACCUUAUAAAUAAGGAGUCGGACCUGCCCAGUGAAUAUAUUUUAACGGCCGCGGUACCCUGACCGUGCAAAGGUAGCAUAAUCAUUUGCCUUAUAAUUAAAGGCUAGUAUGAAUGGUUUGACAAGAAUACAACUGUCUCCUUAUUAAUAUAUAGAAUUUUAUUUAUAAGUGAAGAAGCUUAUAUAAUAUUAAAAGACAAGAAGACCCUAUCGAGCUUUAAAAAAAUUAAUAGAUUACCUAAUUGAUAUUUAUAAAAAAUUAACUAUUAAAAAUUUUGGUUGGGGCGACUGAGGAACAAAGAAAGCUUCCUUUUAAAAGUAAAAAUAUUCGAAUGUUGAGCCAAGAGUUUUUGAGCAAGGAAAUUAGUUACCGUAGGGAUAACAGCAUUAUCUUUUUUGAGAGUUCUAAUCGAAAAAAAGGUUUGUGACCUCGAUGUUGGACCAGAAUAUCCCAAAGAUGCAGCAGUCUUUAAAGGUUGGUCUGUUCGACCAUUAAAAUUCUACGUGAUCUGAGUUCA
This 547-nucleotide ribosomal RNA is filed under the name Exilia hilgendorfi complex sp. MNHN-IM-2013-36877. RNAcentral describes it as "partial 16S ribosomal RNA". It matches the Rfam family "Bacterial large subunit ribosomal RNA", at positions 1798 to 2613 of the family's 2925-position model. The record is from RNAcentral. Lineage: Eukaryota; Metazoa; Mollusca; Gastropoda; Neogastropoda; Ptychatractidae.